AAAAUAUGGUUUUGGUCUUGUUUGGUUGGUACUUCUAAUUGGUGUUUCUAGCUCACAGCUGAUUACCGAUUUCUAUACUCUCAAAUGAAUUCCAUGUUUUUUCAGGCCAAUAGCCUAUUCUAAAUAUACAUGACAUUUCAUAUAAUAUUAUUUAUAUAUUUCUAUGUAUGGAUUUUCAAUUGGACAAAUGUAUCAAUCCUUAUUUCAAUAAUAAUUUAAUUUUUUCAAGCCUGUGACGUGAUGUCCAUGGGGAUCCAUCUCGAUUUGAGUUGAAACUUACAUCGCCCCAUUGUUGUUAAUUCACUGAAUUAAUUAUCAACUAGGUUGUUUGCUGUUGAUAGUGCUGUCUCGCUGACAGCUUUUGGACAUGGUGCGGACGUUUAGAUGCUGCUUCUUUGAGGUAAUAACAGCAACGAUGGGAUGGCUUCCUUUUUCAACACUUUUCCUAGUUCCCAAUUUCAUAAGUUUGGCUCUCAAAUCUCUAACAAAGUCCUCAGGCAUGAAGUGGUCAGAGCAAAUAUAAGAAGUAAGUGGAUUGAAAUAAUUGUCUCUACAUUUGCAACGUUCGACCCACAGUUUAAAUGAAUUUUCACUUUUUGGAAACUAAACUAAACUAC
Nilaparvata lugens (brown planthopper) is the source of this 617-nucleotide long non-coding RNA. RefSeq lists it as uncharacterized. Lineage: Eukaryota; Metazoa; Arthropoda; Insecta; Hemiptera; Delphacidae. The transcript is spliced from 3 exons. The record is from RefSeq and is a predicted model, not a curated record.